RNAcentral lists this long non-coding RNA (277 nucleotides) under Hordeum vulgare. RNAcentral's name for it is "long non-coding RNA (HVUL_LNC013974)". Lineage: Eukaryota; Viridiplantae; Streptophyta; Magnoliopsida; Poales; Poaceae. The record is from RNAcentral.
AACACAACCCUUCAAAUAGACAAAGCCACAUGACUUGUUGUUAGAUCCAACCAAGCCAGAACGAGACCUUUUUCUCGCGGCCAAGACUUCUACCAUCUGUCGACCCAACCAAUCAGGGAAAAUUGAUGAGUCAUAUUUGAAAAAUCCAAGGUGGUCAAAGCAACUCCCUAAUGCCGGUAUCAGAAUGAAAAAAACGUACUCGUGCAGUCCAUGCUAGUGUUCCACCACCACCGAACAUCCAAGCACGCCAUAGUGCACCACUCUCAAAAGUCAAAAG